This 247-nucleotide ribosomal RNA is filed under the name uncultured bacterium. RNAcentral's name for it is "partial 16S ribosomal RNA". It matches the Rfam family "Bacterial small subunit ribosomal RNA", at positions 109 to 353 of the family's 1533-position model. The record is from RNAcentral.
AGUAAUGUCUGGGAAACUGCCUGAUGGAGGGGGGAGUAACUACUGGAAACGGUAGUUAAUACCGCAUAACGUCGCAAGACCAAAGAGGGGGGACCUUCGGGGCCUCUUGCCAUCGGAUGUGCCCAGAUGGGAUUAGCUAGUAGGUGGGGUAACGGCUCACCUAGGCGACGAUCCCUAGCUGGUCUGAGAGGAUGACCAGCCACACUGGAACUGAGACACGGUCCAGACUCCUACGGGAGGCAGCAUG